Molecule: ribosomal RNA, 483 nt
Filed under: uncultured bacterium
Lineage: Bacteria
Description: bacterial SSU rRNA
Rfam family: Bacterial small subunit ribosomal RNA
Source: RNAcentral
CCUACGGGAGGCAGCAGUAAGGAAUAUUGGACAAUGCUCGCAAGAGUGAUCCAGCCAUGCCGCGUGCAGGAAGAAUGCCCUAUGGGUAGUAAACUGCUUUUGAACUAGAGAAAACCCCAGUACGUGUACUGGGCUGAUAGUAUAGUUAGAAUAAGCAUCGGCUAACUUCGUGCCAGCAGCCGCGGUAAGACGAAGGAUGCAAGCGUUAUCCGGAUUCAUUGGGUUUAAAGGGAGCGUAGGUGGACUGAUAAGUCAGUGGUGAAAUCUCCGAGCUUAACUCGGAAAUUGCCAUUGAUACUGUUGGUCUUGAGUACAGUUGCUGUGGGCGGAAAUAUGACAUGUAGUGGUGAAAUACAUAGAGAUGUCAUAGAACACCGAUUGCGAAGGCAGCUCACAAAGCUGUAACUGACACUGAGGCUCGAAAGUGGNGGGAGUACAACAGAGUAGAUACCUACGUAGUCGCACCGUAACGAUAGAUACUCG